This is a small nucleolar RNA of Prosopis cineraria, 106 nucleotides long. NCBI's taxonomy places the organism in Eukaryota, Viridiplantae, Streptophyta, Magnoliopsida, Fabales, Fabaceae. The record is from RefSeq and is a predicted model, not a curated record.
ACACUAUGAUUAGGGCAUUUCUUUAUUAACAUCUUAUAUCUCUCCAAGCUACAUAGAGAUGCUCAUCUGUAUAUUGCUUAAAGCUAAGAAAUUCAUCUCUUACUUC